This 91-nucleotide transfer RNA is filed under the name Gammaproteobacteria bacterium. RNAcentral's name for it is "tRNA-Ser". It matches the Rfam family "tRNA". From Rfam's summary of the family: Transfer RNA (tRNA) molecules are approximately 80 nucleotides in length. The record is from RNAcentral. Lineage: Bacteria; Pseudomonadati; Pseudomonadota; Gammaproteobacteria. RNAcentral also lists the same sequence under 1 other name.
GGAGAGGUGGCUGAGUGGUUGAAAGCGCUCCCCUGCUAAGGGAGUAUGUGGUAACACCGCAUCGAGGGUUCGAAUCCCUCCCUCUCCGCCA